RNAcentral lists this transfer RNA (73 nucleotides) under Camelus bactrianus (Bactrian camel). It matches the Rfam family "tRNA". From Rfam's summary of the family: Transfer RNA (tRNA) molecules are approximately 80 nucleotides in length. Their secondary structure includes four short double-helical elements and three loops (D, anti-codon, and T loops). Further hydrogen bonds mediate the characteristic L-shaped molecular structure. tRNAs have two regions of fundamental functional importance: the anti-codon, which is responsible for specific mRNA codon recognition, and the 3' end, to which the tRNAs corresponding amino acid is attached (by aminoacyl-tRNA synthetases). tRNAs cope with the degeneracy of the genetic code in two manners: having more than one tRNA (with a specific anti-codon) for a particular amino acid; and 'wobble' base-pairing, i.e. permitting non-standard base-pairing at the 3rd anti-codon position. RNAcentral also lists the same sequence under 2 other names. The record is from Rfam by way of RNAcentral. Lineage: Eukaryota; Metazoa; Chordata; Mammalia; Artiodactyla; Camelidae.
GAGGGUAUAGCGCAACUGGUAGAGUGCAUGCUUUGCAUGUAUGAGGUCCUGAGUUCAACCCCCAGCACCUCCA